This 73-nucleotide transfer RNA is filed under the name Camelus bactrianus (Bactrian camel). It matches the Rfam family "tRNA". From Rfam's summary of the family: Transfer RNA (tRNA) molecules are approximately 80 nucleotides in length. Their secondary structure includes four short double-helical elements and three loops (D, anti-codon, and T loops). The record is from Rfam by way of RNAcentral. Lineage: Eukaryota; Metazoa; Chordata; Mammalia; Artiodactyla; Camelidae. RNAcentral also lists the same sequence under 1 other name.
GAGGGUAUAGCUCAAGUAGUAGAGCGUAUGCUUAGCAUGCACAAAGUCCUGGGUUCAGUCCCCAGUACCUCCU